AUUGAACGCUGGCGGCAUGCCUUACACAUGCAAGUCGAACGGCAGCACGGGGGCAACCCUGGUGGCGAGUGGCGAACGGGUGAGUAAUAUAUCGGAACAUGCCCUGAAGUGGGGGAUAACGUAGCGAAAGUUACGCUAAUACCGCAUAUUCUGUGAGCAGGAAAGAGGGGGAUCGCAAGACCUCUCGCUUUAGGAGUGGCCGAUAUCGGAUUAGCUAGUUGGUGAGGUAAAGGCUCACCAAGGCGACGAUCCGUAGCGGGUCUGAGAGGAUGAUCCGCCACACUGGGACUGAGACACGGCCCAGACUCCUACGGGAGGCAGCAGUGGGGAAUUUUGGACAAUGGGCGCAAGCCUGAUCCAGCCAUGCCGCGUGAGUGAAGAAGGCCUCGGUUGUAAGCUCUUCGUGGGAGAAUUAGCUCAGGAUAUACCUUGAGUAGAUGACGGUACCCGGCCAUAAGAAGCACCGGCUAACUACGUGCC
RNAcentral lists this ribosomal RNA (480 nucleotides) under uncultured bacterium. RNAcentral's name for it is "bacterial SSU rRNA". It matches the Rfam family "Bacterial small subunit ribosomal RNA", at positions 30 to 509 of the family's 1533-position model. The record is from RNAcentral.